GAUGAACGCUGGCGGCGUGCCUAAUACAUGCAAGUCGAGCGAACAGACGAGGAGCUUGCUCCUCUGACGUUAGCGGCGGACGGGUGAGUAACACGUGGAUAACCUACCUAUAAGACUGGGAUAACUUCGGGAAACCGGAGCUAAUACCGGAUAAUAUAUUGAACCGCACGGUUCAAUAGUGAAAGACGGUUUUGCUGUCACUUAUAGAUGGAUCCGCGCCGCAUUAGCUAGUUGGUAAGGUAACGGCUUACCAAGGCAACGAUGCGUAGCCGACCUGAGAGGGUGAUCGGCCACACUGGAACUGAGACACGGUCCAGACUCCUACGGGAGGCAGCAGUAGGGAAUCUUCCGCAAUGGGCGAAAGCCUGACGGAGCAACGCCGCGUGAGUGAUGAAGGUCUUCGGAUCGUAAAACUCUGUUAUUAGAGAAGAACAAAUGUGUAAGUAACUAUGCACGUCUUGACGGUACCUAAUCAGAAAGCCACGGCUAACUACGUG
This 497-nucleotide ribosomal RNA is filed under the name uncultured bacterium. RNAcentral describes it as "partial 16S ribosomal RNA". It matches the Rfam family "Bacterial small subunit ribosomal RNA", at positions 28 to 507 of the family's 1533-position model. The record is from RNAcentral.